CUUCUAGCUAUUUAGACUACAGUGUGUUUCAAAGGGCACCUGCACCUGGUCUCAGUAUUCCCGCCAAAACCAUAGAAAAUCACCUUUCUUGAGUUUGAAACUGCACCCUGAUGAGAACAGUUGGCCUAGAUGUUAUGGAGACAUCCAUGAUGUGAAUUGCAUAGAUACUAUUACCAAUGGGCUAAAAGACAACACAAAACUGUGCAUCAAUAAGGCAUUACUGUAUAUGCAUGAAGAGGACAGAGCCAACAAAUGAUCUCACAAGCCAAUUAAAGCUAAGAAAUACACAGAAUUUGCAUAAAAGGCUAGAUGCAAACAUUUGCCAGAACCACCAACCAAGAUUACCUACAUUCAGAGAAGAUUGUGGUGUUACAAUUCCAGGAAGUCAGCAUCUGUCAUAGAUUGGGGCUUCUUUCUCUCUCCUGAUUGGUGACUGUGAAGCUGUUUCCCUGAUUGGUUCAAUCUUUACUAGCUGGUUGGGCCAAGAUAGGAAUAGAACUCUCUAAUCAGGUGUAAAUGUCUUGGUUGUCUCUUAGGAAGCCUACUGCUGCUGCACAUGAUCAGUUGGAAGCUGGAGUGACCUGCGCUGCGAUUGGCCCACUUCCCCACAGGGAGGGAUGCUGCAAAUAAGAGAGGCUCCUUCUUCUGUUGCUAUGACUGGGUUGGAGUUGGUGGUUGCUAUGAAGCUCUCAGAGUUAAGAACAGAUUGACACGUGCCCAGUCAUUUUUUAUGUAUAGCCCGAGAUGGGUUCAAAUGCACUCAACCAGUGGGAAUUCCCCCAUGGAGUUAGUUGCUAUGUUAGAUCUCUCUCCAAAUCAUCAGCCAAUCUGAUAAAAACCCAAUAACACACUUCACUGCUCUUGUGACCAUAAUUAAGUCCUGGAUACCUACACACAAUUUACUCUUUUACAAUUUGUAAUACAGUAUUGUGUGCAUAUGCAAUGAAUAGCCUAUGUGGUUUCAAACAAACACAAAUUCAUAUUUUAUUCCUUUGCAUUAGGCCCAUUUAAAUUUCAGGCCAUGUGUCUACAGGGGUCAUUAAUUAGGAGAAAAUCAAUGGCUGAAUUAUGCAUACAAAUGCAUUCAAUAAAUAAAUCCACGAUUUGAAUAUAAAGAUUACAGGAUGGUUGACAAAGCAUGAAUAUGGAAAACCGGUUCUGAAGUUUUAUAAAUAUGUAUUAACCUCCGGAGUUGGGUAACUAUCUGGAUUCACCAUUUGUGCAAUUUUGGAAAAGUACUGCACUGGAUGCAUUGGCCUCCUGUGUUUAAACAUGUUUACAUAUUUAAGAGUAAUGCUGUGCGGUGGCUUAAUGCCACUGCAUAGUUUGAGAGGCAUGCCGACCGCUUUACUCCCUAAUCCGGGCCAGAUUAAAUCAUAUGAUCUGUAUCAAUCUAUGUUUGGUGGGCAUAGAUUAAACGGGCUCACGGAGGAAAUGCUUGCAAAGAGCCACAAACACCCACCGCAAACAUCAGCAGCAGCAUCUCCUAAUUUAGUGGGAUUGGAAGUUGUUUAACCAGAUGAAAAUGGGUUUAUAUUAACGCGACACUGAUGAGAACACGAAUAAAUCAUUU
Long non-coding RNA from Oncorhynchus tshawytscha (Chinook salmon), 1573 nucleotides. RefSeq lists it as uncharacterized. The record is from RefSeq and is a predicted model, not a curated record. Lineage: Eukaryota; Metazoa; Chordata; Actinopteri; Salmoniformes; Salmonidae. The transcript has 3 exons.